UUGGAGGGCAAGUCUGGUGCCAGCAGCCGCGGUAAUUCCAGCUCCAAUAGCGUAUAUUAAAGUUGUUGCAGUUAAAAAGCUCGUAGUUGAAUUUCGGGGUUAGUAGGUUGGUCGUGCCUCAGGUAUGUACUGAUCUCACUGAUUCCUCCUUCCUGAUGAACCGUAAUGCCAUUAAUUUGGUGUUGCGGGGAAACUGGACUGUUACUUUGAAAAAAUUAGAGUGUUCAAAGCAGGCUUAUGUCUGAAUACAUUAGCAUGGAAUAAUAAAAUAGGACGGUGGUCCUGUUUUGUUGGUUUCUGAAUCACCGUAAUGAUUAAUAGGGAUAGUUGGGGGCAUUAGUAUUCAAUUGUCAGAGGUGAAAUUCUUGGAUUUAUUGAAGACUAACUACUGCGAAAGCAUUUGCCAAGGAUGUUUUCAUUAAUCAAGAACGAAAGUUAGGGGAUCGAAGACGAUCAGAUACCGUCGUAGUCUUAACCAUAAACUAUGCCGACUAGGGAUCGGAUGAUGUUAAUUUUUUAAUGACUCAUUCGGCGCCUUACGGGAAA
Molecule: ribosomal RNA, 546 nt
Filed under: uncultured Glomeromycotina
Lineage: Eukaryota; Fungi; Glomeromycota
Description: SSU rRNA
Rfam family: Eukaryotic small subunit ribosomal RNA
Source: RNAcentral